Solanum lycopersicum (tomato) is the source of this 105-nucleotide non-coding RNA. The record is from Rfam. NCBI's taxonomy places the organism in Eukaryota, Viridiplantae, Streptophyta, Magnoliopsida, Solanales, Solanaceae.
GCCCCUUCCGGGACAUCUGAUAAAAAUUGGAAUGAUACAAAGAAAAUUAGCAUGCCUCUUGUGCAAGAAUGACAACACACAAAUCACGAAAUGCUCAAUUCUCAC